UGUAUUUAAAUUGUGUCUCUGUGGAUGCCAUAUUGUUGGGUCUUGCUUUCCUCUCAGGUCUGGCAGUCUCUGUCUUAAGUAGAGUAUUUGUCCAGUUACAUUGUAACUAAUCAUUGCUAAGGUUGGAUUUAGGUCUGCCAUUUUUCUACUUAUUUUCUAUUUGUUUUUUUUUUUUUUUUUUUAAGACAGGGUCUUGCUCUGUCACUGAGACUGUAGUGCAAUGGUGCAAUGUUGGCUCACUGCAACCUCUGCCUCCCAGGCCCAACCAAUCCUCACUGGAGCCCACUGAGUAGCUGGGACUACAGGCACAUGGAAACACACCUGGCUAAUUUUUAUAUUUUUUGUAGACCACCACUGCUGGGGCCUGGGGAUUGCUGGGAAAAA
RNAcentral lists this long non-coding RNA (384 nucleotides) under Homo sapiens (human). Its description in RNAcentral is "long non-coding RNA NONHSAT005729.2". The record is from RNAcentral. Lineage: Eukaryota; Metazoa; Chordata; Mammalia; Primates; Hominidae.